UAUCGGCCACUGUUGAAUGGCUCAGCCGUAGCUGCAUACUAGAGUCAUGUUCGGAAAAUAGAGGCGUGGUGGAAUGUACCAGUCAGCUAUGAUUGGAUAGCUACUGUAGCUCCGCCCCGUUCAUAGUCCCAAACCCAAAACACUCUCAGUCUGUCAGCGACGGUGUAAGAGUGAACAUCUCCCUUGACUGUUAUUUCUAAACUUGUCAAAGCCUUUCACUCAUUUCCAUCCCAGCCCGAAACCGUAUCUGCAGAACAGCACUUUUUUUUUAGGAGAGUUUUGAUAUUCUUGUAUUGUUACGGUACUUUUUGAUACUGUUUGUAACUAUCCAUGUUAUACACUGAAUUUGUCAUUGUAUUUGAAUGUGAAAUUAAAAUAAAAAUUAUUUUUCAAAAAAAUAUAUAUAUAUGUAUGCUUUGUGUACAACGUGGUGCUUUGUUGAAUAAAACGGAAACAAACCAACCAGAAUAUAGUCAUGUCUUUAAUUUCACAUUUCAAUAUUAUAUCACCUCGUUCAUGGAGGUAAUAGACAUUUAGGGAGGCAGAGUAUGACAGUAUGAAAACAUAACAAUGUAAAACAAAAAAUAACAAGUUUAAUGUGUACUCAAUUUCCAGGGGCUUCCUCUACAUGAAGCAGAGCCGUCCUGAGCCUCCAUUACAGGAACUCAGUGCCAGAGUGAACUUCUCCCCUGGCUACUAUUUCAAAGUUGUCAAAGCUUGAAGUCGUUUGACUCAUUUCGAUCCCAGCCCGAAACUGAGAAGUGCCAGGGGCUUUCCCUACAUGAACUUGCCACCUCUCCAGCUCUCGAGAUUCAUUGUUGGUUAGGAAUAAAUAAUAGAGCCACGGUUGGACACUUCAGAAUACAGCCAUGGUUGGACGAGUCAGCCGGGAGUGGAUAGCUGUAUCGGCCACUGUUGGAUGGCUCAGCCGUAGCUGCAUACUAGAGUCAUGUUCGGAAAAUAGAGGCGUGGUGGAAUGUACCAGUCAGCUAUGAUUGGAUAGCUACGGUAGCUCCGCCCCGUUCAUAGUCCCAAACCCAAAACACUCUCAGUCUGUCAGCGACGGUGUAAGAGUGAACAUCUCCCUUGACUGUUAUUUCUAAACUUGUCAAAGCUUGAAAUCUUUCACUCAUUUCCAUCACAGCCCGAAAUCUAUGUAUGCUUAUGUGUACAAGGUGGUGCUUUGUUGAAUAAAACGGAAACAAACCAACCAGAAUAUAAUAAAAAAAUGUAUUUCAUUUCACAUUUCAAUAUUGUAUCACACUGCAUACUAGUCAUGUUCGGAAAAAUAAUAAUAAUAAAAAUAAAAACUGAGAAACAACCUCGGUUGGAAAAAACGGCCUGGUUGGAUAUAAAGCCUCGUUUGGAUAACGGUCUCGGUCGGAUAUAACGCGCCGGCUGGAUAAAACGACCUCGGUUGGAUAAAACCGUGGAUGUAAGUGAAUGGAAAUACAAGUCACUAUAUAACCAGCACUACUCACUGACACUCUACGCUGUAAAACGAAACCAGAAGGGAGCUGCCAACCAUCAUCAUCAGAAGAACAAAUCAGCCAGAAACACUCCGAUUGACUGCUGCUGAGGCUUGAACACUGCCAGAGAGAACUGCGUUGAUUAUGAAGGGGAAAGGUGUAAUGACUGUUUUCCUACUUGCACUUGUUGCAAAAUCCUCCGUGUCUCUUCCGAUCACUAUAACCGUGAUGUUGAAUCACCCAGUUACACCGCCCUGCUCUGGAUCAUGCCAUGGUGGCAGAAAUAAGACGGGAAGGAAAGAUCCAUAGAAUAAAUGGAACAUUCUGCCAUCACUCCGUGGAUCCAAGACCAAGAAAACACAUCCCAUCAGGAAAAACACUGGCAUGUCACGCUCUGCUCUGCCGUCGCUGCCAGCCACCAGCAAGACUGAUACACACUUCAUCCGCGUCUCUCUACUGCCACCGUGCGAUAGUCUCGGCUCCCAUUGUGAACUUCACCCCUAACACACCGGUAUAGCUGAGGGGGAGAGAGAUUCGGAAGAAAUGCUGAGCUCCUCUGCAGCACAGCCCAUUGAAAAUCCUACGAGGCCGCCUACAAUUGACACGCCACAUUGCAUCAACCAAUGGUUGUGUAACAUGUCACUGACAAUAAUAAAAUACAUCUUUCAUGCAGAACUCUCCGUCUUCAGUCAUUCAAAUAAUAUGUUUAGAUAUUAAGGAGGCUGUAUGUUUGUAUUAUCACAGCACUAUAAUAAAAGGGGGGUCCUCAGAAUCCAUUGUGAGACUAAAAACGUCAUAAGUGUCGUCAAUAACAACGACGAGACAGCCUAUAGACAGACAAGAAGCGCAGUGUCUAACAGCGAUGUGCAGCGGAAACAACCUGGAGCUGAACACGACGUCAUAGAGGAUUUUAUAAAGGUUUUAUUUGUUCCGUGUGACUGUUAUACUGUCUACCUCUGUGUACUAUGUAGACCUACUAUAUGUGAGAGAGCUCCAAAUAAUAAUUCCAAUAUAUUACUUUUAAUAGGUACUUGCAAAUGGCAAAUAUACUACUUGAAUAAAAAUGGAUUAAACUACUUGAAUAAAAUGUAGAAAAGCUUCUGAUUGAGUUUGGAACUGUCAGAUAAUUUCUGUAGCACAGAAAUAUAGCGAUAGUAAACUAUAGCGUAAUGAAACAGGCAGGGAGCGGGACUCGAACCCUCGACCUUCUAGCCCGAAGUCCAGCGCGCUAACGACUGUGCCCCAAAAGCAUAUUCAAGCAGAGAGUCGCUAUCCACGCUUAUAAACCCAGGGUCGUUACACUAUAUAAUGAUAUUGUGUAGGUUCGAUGAUAUUUAAGAAAAGGGGACAGAGGACACGGGGACAUGGUUAUGUCAGUUGGAUUAGUCUGCUGGUUUGACGCUCAAAAAGCGGCUUCACUCCGAGGAGCUGCUGUAGUGUUGCCGGCACGGAGAAGUUAGGCUGGGCUCUGUGAGGACGAUGGCAGUCAGAGGAAGGGACACGGCUGCGUUACGACACCAGUCAAAUCGAUGCGCAGCUCUACUAUCUCGGUUGUAGCUCCGCAGGACGAGUCUUUCACAUGAGAACAUCCAACCACGGCUGAAUUGUCCGACCAAUGUUAAGUCAAGUCAGUCACUGUAAAACCAAGCUGUACUGGAUAGAAAAUAGUAGGCAGUAAGUUGACCUACCCGGUCGAAGCGUACUACUAAUCUACUGGAGAAAUGUGUCUCACUUUUGUAAGUGAAUGGAAAUACAAGUCACUAUAAAACCAGCACUGCGUCUCUACUCACUGACACUGAGCUGUCCGAAGAAACCAUAAGGGAGCUGCCAACCAUCAUCAUCAGAAGAACAAAUCAGCCAGAAACACUCCGAUUGACUGCUGCUGAGGCUUGAACACUGCCAGAGAGAACUGCGUUGAUUAUGAAGGGGAAAGGUGUAAUGACUGUUUUCCUACUUGCACUUGUUGCAAAAUCCUCCGUGUCUCUUCCGAUCACUAUAACCGUGAUGUUGAAUCACCCAGUUACACCGCCCUGCUCUGGAUCAUGCCAUGGUGUCAGAAAUAAGACGGGAAGGAAAGAUCCAUAGAAUAAAUGGAACAUUCUGCCCUCACUCCGUGGAUCCAAGACCAAGAAAACACAUCCCAUCAGGAAAAACCACUGGCAUGUCACGCUCUGCUCUGCCGUCGCUGCCAGCCACCAGCAAGACUGAUACACACUUCAUCGGCGUCUCUCUACUGCCACCGUGAGAACUUCACCACUUUACACACCAGCAUAGCUGAGGGGGGAGAGAGAUUCGGAAGAAAUGCUGAGCUCCUCUGCAGCACAGCCCAUUGAAAAUCCUACGAGGCCAACUACAAUUGACACGCUACAUUGCAUCAACCAAUGGUUGUGUGCCAUGUCACUGACAAUAAUAAAAUAUAUCUUUCAUGCAGAACUCUCCGUCUUCAGUCAUUCAAAUAAUAUGUUUAGAUAUUAAGGAGGCUGUAUGUUUGUAUUAUCACAGCACUAUAAUAAAAGGGGGGGUCCUCAGAAUCCAUUGUGAGACUAAAAACGUCAUAAGUGUCGUCAAUAACAACGACGAGACAGCCUAUAGACAGACAAGAAGCGCAGUGUCUAACAGCGAUGUGCAGCGGAAACAACCUGGAGCUGAACACGACGUCAUAGAGGAUUUUAUAAAGGUUUUAUUUGUUCCGUGUGACUGUUAUACUGUCUACCUCUGUGUACUAUGUAGACCUACUAUAUGUGAGAGAGCUCCAAAUAAUAAUUCCAAUAUAUUACUUUUAAUAGGUACUUGCAAAUGGCAAAUAUACUACUUGAAUAAAAAUGGAUUAAACUACUUGAAUACAAUGUAGAAAAGCUUCUGAUUGAGUUUGGAACUGUCAGAUAAUAUCUGUAGCACAGAAAUAUAGCGAUAGUGAAAUAUAGCGUAAUGAAACAGGCAGGGAGCAGGACUCGAGCCCUCGACUUUCUAGCCCGAAGUCCAGCGCGCUAUCGACUGUGCCCCAAAAGUAUAUUCAAGCAGAGAGUCGCUAUCCACGCUUAUAAACCCAGGGUCGUUACGCUAUAUGAUGAUAUUGUGUCGGUACGAUGAUAUUUAACAAAAGUGAUAGUGUCUCCCCAGGAAAUGAACACUCUGCCCUUUGAUGUUACAUGUUCAUACUCCGCGAAGCGAACACUGGUGCCAUCUCUGGAUAUGACCACAUCCGUGCAGGAUGAUUCCAUCUGGUCAUCUGGGGUAGACUUGUAGGGUUGCGUUUUGUGCAGGUUUGCAUGGAUUACAUUGGUACAACUCUGACACCACCGAACCCCCCACUGACACCACCGAACCCUCCUCUGACACCACCGAACCCUCCUCUGACACCACCGAACCCUCCUCUGACACCACCGAACCCUCCUCUGACACCACCGAACCCUCCUCUGACACCACCGAACCCUCCUCGUUGUUCGUUUUGCUGAGCAGCACGGCCAUGAACACUGAGCCAUCAUAGACAGUACGCUUGCCUGGAUCACAUUCAUGACUUGUGGUUGUGUGAGUCAUGGCUCUAGUCCACUGUGUGUUGACAAUCUGUACUGCUAUGGGAUCCUAAGAGUUUAACAGAGCUUUAGGUUUCCAGUGAGCUCUCUUGGGCACAUUUAUUCAAAAGGUAAUGGCCAACCAAGAGUCUCAAACCUAGGCUACAAUAUCCAGCCUUGGCCUGUCUAUCCCACAAAGACAACAGCCCUGAAUGACUAACCCAGGCCUGAUAAUCCAACCAAGAGUCUCUAACCUAGGCUACAAUAUCCAGCCCUGUCUAUCCCACACAGACAACAGCCCUGAAUGACUAACCCAGGCCUAAUAAUCCAACCAAGCGUCUCUAACAUAGGCUACAAUAUCAAUGAGCUUUGUUGAAUAAAAGCGAAACAUACCAACCAGAAUAUAGUUAUGUCUUUAUUUUCACAUUUCAAUAUUAUAUCACGCUAUUUCACAACAGACAGUCAGUCCUAAGUGUAGUCAAUUUCCAGGAGAGUCCCCUACGCGAAGCAGGGCCGUCCUGAGCCUGGCCUACACAAACUCUGUCAAAGCUUGAAGUUGUUUCACUCAUUUCGAUCCCAGCCUGAAACCGAGAAGUGCCAGGGACUUCCUCUACAUGAACUUGGCACCUCUCCAGCUCUCGAGAUUCAUUGUUGGUUAGGAAUAGAUAACAGAGGUUGGACAUAUCAAAUAGCGUGCAGUUUGGACGUAUCAGUCGUGAUUGGAUAGCUAUAUGAGACGCUGUUGGAUAGAUUAGCCAUGAUUGGAUAG
Oncorhynchus tshawytscha (Chinook salmon) is the source of this 5750-nucleotide long non-coding RNA. Lineage: Eukaryota; Metazoa; Chordata; Actinopteri; Salmoniformes; Salmonidae. The record is from Ensembl.